UACGUAGGGUGCGAGCGUUGUCCGGAAUUAUUGGGCGUAACGAGCUCGUAGGCGGUCUGUCGCGUCUGCUGUGAAAACCCGAGGCUCAACCUCGGGCCUGCAGUGGGUACGGGCAGACUAGAGUGCGGUAGGGGAGAAUGGAACUCCUGGUGUAGCGGUGGAAUGCGCAGAUAUCAGGAAGAACACCGAUGGCGAAGGCAGUUCUCUGGGCCGUAACUGACGCUGAGGAGCGAAAGCGUGGGGAGCGAACAGG
Molecule: ribosomal RNA, 253 nt
Filed under: uncultured bacterium
Lineage: Bacteria
Description: partial 16S ribosomal RNA
Rfam family: Bacterial small subunit ribosomal RNA
Source: RNAcentral